RNAcentral lists this long non-coding RNA (440 nucleotides) under Homo sapiens (human). Its description in RNAcentral is "HSALNT0379537". The record is from RNAcentral. Lineage: Eukaryota; Metazoa; Chordata; Mammalia; Primates; Hominidae.
GGGCUUUCCUCUUCCUGUCUGUCAUGUCCAGCCUGUGAAGAGCACGCUGGCUGAGCUGGCGAGAGGGGUGGGGGCGUCCUGGGGCUGCUUCUGCUCUGAUGAAGGCACCCACUGUCACUGUCCCGGCCCUCGCUGAGUGUUCCCGGACCCGUGGGCCCGCGUCUGUGCCAGGCCUUGGGGAGCUCCAGCCUCGGAGCCUCUUCCCGUUCUCAGACCUCAGUGCGAGGAGGAAAUCGGGAUUCAAGUCUGCAAAAUAGAGGGGAGACCCCUAGGAGCUUGGGGACUGCGGAGGCCCCUAGGCCCAGGUUGAGACUGUGCUGCACUGCUGCUUUGUAAACCUGGAAGAUUUUUAUCGUGAAUAAAUACCUGCCGCAACAAUGCCUAAUGCUUUUGUGGGGUUCUGUUAUUUGGAUGUGCCACUGGCGGUGACGGCUGGCCCC